ACCGCGCCCGGCCUCCUCUUAUUUUUCCUCAGCUGAAAACAUGAGAAGAUUUAAUGAUUUCUCUUUUUUUCCUUCUCCUAAAAACAUGAGAGGAUUUUUCUACAAUAUUCAGUGUGGUAACUAGGUUGAGUACCCGGAGGUAAAGCUCACAAAAGUAUGUGGUAUUCUGUAUGACUGCAUCCCCCUUUGAUUUUUCGGCUUUCAGAGUUGACCACACUGAGCUUUCAGCAAUUAAUCACUUAACAUUUCACUUCCUCCAUUCCACGGAUGGAUCCUGAGGAGGUUUCAGUUCAUGAAUUUCUGUUCUGAGGAGUUGUGACUGGAAUUGGCUCAUGUGGUUGUGAGGGCUAGCAAGUUCAAAAUAUUCAAGGUAGGCUGACAGGCUUGAGACCCAGGGAAGAGUUGGCAUUGCAAGCUGGAGUCCAGAGGCAGUCUUGAAACAGAACUGCUUCUUCCCCAAGGAACCUCUGUCUUUUUUCUUAGGGCCUUCAACUGACUGAACAAGGCCUGCCAUAUUAUGGAUGGAACAAGUGUUGGACUUUAAGUUUGCACCAGGAAACCAAGUGUUAGUAGAAAAACUGUGCCAAGAUUUAAGAGAGAACAUGUGAACCUAACACAGCAAGAAGUCAAUGACAAACUUAAACAACUUGAUGAUUUCUCUACAGAAAGGCUGAGAUAUAAACUUGGCUUUGUUACUUACAAUACCUAUAUUUGGAAGAGUGGAGUUUGAAGACAAAGACAGUAAUUUUGUGGGUUUAAGAAGAAAAGGCCUUGAGAAUAUUUAAACAGUAAAAAUAGCAGUUAACCUUGAAGAGACUCUUUCAUGAAUAACUUGCCUCAAGAAAAGGAUCCAGGCCCCUGGAAAUAAGUACACUGGAAGAAUACAAUUAUUAUAUGAAAUUGAAAUGCAUACUUCGUGUGAUUGAGCUGAAUGAAGGUGGCUUACACCAUUUAUGUGGCACUGUAAGAGUCAAACUAGAGGCAAAAGUUGAAAGGCCGUUUAUUCAAUUCACAACCAAAUUAAAAGGUACAGAACCAAUGUUCCCUAAAAGCAACCACCUGAAUUAAUAAUUAACAAUUUGAAAUCAAGGGAUGUUUUUUACACAGACAGUAUACAUUUAAUGACUAAAUUGGAACAUACACAGUUGACAGUUAAUUUCUAUUGAAUACUCCUCAUAGUAUUUUCUAGUUUAUACUGAGUCAAAAAACCAAGAAACCAAUGCCAUAAAUGAAAAGAUGCAGAGAAACAAAGCCAUUAUUUCAUCAGUAGAAGUGCAAAAGGUUAGAACAAAUGAAACAACUUCUAAUGGAAUGAACUAUUGAUAUAAUUAAGGUAUUAUAGAAGCUCACCAAAUCAAGCUAUGAAUAAAUCAAUUAUUUUAAUUGACCAGCCUGCAGUUUGUACCAUAUGAUGUUUCUCUCUCUCUUCCUUUUUCUUUUUUUUUUUGAAUAAUAAUAUGUUCUAAUAAUCAGUAAAAAUAUCAGAGAAAAAAAUAAAACUUUUAAGGUGAUAUUGUAUUUUAUAACAAAUAAUACCACAUUAAUUUGAUAAAGUAAUAUCAAACAUGACUUUAGGCCUAUACUGUUGAUAAAAUGAUGUGAAAUAUGACUUUAAACUUGCCCUAUUCAUUACUAUAACCUAUAGUCAGUCAAAUAUGGCUAUUGAACCCUUGAAAUGGUUUAGUCCAAAUUAACAUGUGCUAUAAGUAUAAAAUAUGCACAGAAUAUCAAAGGAAAAAUGUGAACUAUUUCAUUUCAUUGACAAUUUUUAUAUUGAUUACAUAUUGAAAGGAUAAUAUUUUGACUAUAUUGGGCUAAAUAAAUAUAUUGUAAGGUCAAUUAUUACCUAUUACUUUUUCCAUCUCUAAAUAUGCCUAGUAGAAAAUUUAAAAUUAUAUAUGCAAUCACUUAUUUAUACUAGACAUCAUUGUUUUAUAGUGCUAGGAUAUUAGUUAAGAUGUUAAAAGAAAUGAAGAAGUUUUAUGUUCCAGAAUUUGAUCCAAUAUGAGGUAUGAAAAUCUUACUACUUAUGGCAAAACAUGGUCAAUAGUUUUUAUAAGAAAUUAUCUUCAAGUUUUCUAAAACAAAACAUGCUUGUAAUAUUAUAUUUUAAAACUUAUGUGGCUAUUUUAAUACAAUAGUUGAUACAACUAAAAUUAGGCAUGAGAGAUUUGAUUUUUGGCAUUUGUAAUUAAAAUAAUGCAGAAUUUUAUUGAAAUAUUGAUGACUUCAAAAUGUUUGAAGGAGGUUCAUUCAAUUACUGGACUUGUUGGUUCUUUUGCUUUUUCUCCUCCACUAAGCUUGUCUUUACCCUCACUUCAGCUACUUACUAUUAGUUAUAGCCCACACUUUUUCCUACAGUAAUUUCAAUUUCCUCCCUCAUCAUCUGCUUAAAACAUUCAACUCUCCACCUCCUUCUAUCAUUCUAGUUUUUUCCCUCCAGAACCCCAAUUGUAACAGUCAUUCAACACACCAGAAACUAGAAUUAUGACUCUUAUAACUCUUUUAUAGGUACCAGCCUCAUUUCUUCCCACUGUACACAACUGAAAGUUCAUGAUCAGUCAUUAAAAUCACUGUGUUUCAUAUGUCUUCUGAUAUCUUGCUCCUUACUUGUCUAAACCCUAAUCCCUUUAAAAGUUAACUCUCUGCCUACUGCUGCUGAACAUGGCUGGAGAAAGACACACGUCCACGAUAUGGGUCUCAUUUUAAACUAAAGAUCAUUUAUUUGAAGAAGGUCUUUGAUGUUGCUCAGAAAUGAGAUUAUACUUCCCUUUACUCUUUCAAUUAUUAUCUUCCUCCAUGUAUCCAAUAACUCCUCCUUCAUCCCAAGUCCCUGUUAGUGACCUUCUUUACAGUUGCAGUGUAUGAAGAAUGCAAAGCGUUCCUGAAGACUCCACUACCACAAUCCUUUGUUUUGAAAGCAGUAUUAUCUAGAGCUUUUGUGACACAGACCCAGAGAACAGAGACCAUCAAUCUUCAACACAUUGUAUCUCAAGCUGAGAAAACCAAGGUCAAGACAACUCGGAUUAAUUCCUGUAGUCAACAUAGUGAAUGAGUUGAAGACUGUAAGUUUUCUUUCCCUCUGCCAAGACCUCUUACAAGAGCAAGAGCCACUUCCACUUGGAAAAACACAUACUCAACCACAGAGAUUUACACCAUACACAGAAAUGAAGAAAGAGAAAACAUGCUAAAAAAUAAAAUGUUAAAGUAAGAAGCUUCAAAAUAAUUUACAGG
This is a non-coding RNA of Macaca mulatta (Rhesus monkey), 3234 nucleotides long. The record is from RefSeq and is a predicted model, not a curated record. Lineage: Eukaryota; Metazoa; Chordata; Mammalia; Primates; Cercopithecidae.